UACGUAGGGGGCAAGCGUUGUCCGGAAUUAUUGGGCGUAAAGCGCGCGCAGGCGGUGCGGUAAGUUGGGUGUUUAAACGCAAGGCUCAACCUUGAGGAGCAUUCAAAACUGCCGGACUUGAGAACAGAAGAGGAAAGUGGAAUUCCACGUGUAGCGGUGAAAUGCGUAGAUAUGUGGAGGAACACCAGUGGCGAAGGCGACUUUCUGGGCUGUAACUGACGCUGAGGCGCGAAAGCGUGGGGAGCAAACAGG
This 252-nucleotide ribosomal RNA is filed under the name uncultured bacterium. RNAcentral describes it as "partial 16S ribosomal RNA". It matches the Rfam family "Bacterial small subunit ribosomal RNA", at positions 524 to 776 of the family's 1533-position model. The record is from RNAcentral.